Molecule: long non-coding RNA, 338 nt
Filed under: Lathyrus oleraceus (garden pea)
Lineage: Eukaryota; Viridiplantae; Streptophyta; Magnoliopsida; Fabales; Fabaceae
Description: Pisum sativum (pea) long non-coding RNA (PSAT_LNC036490)
Source: RNAcentral
UUUUGACUUGGCGUACUUUCCUUCUUCUUUUGUUUUUUUUUUUUUUUUGCUUUUGCAAGAUUGUGACUACCACGAUAUUGGUUAUUGGGAGACAACCAUUGUGAAAUUUUGGAUUUCCAACCUCUUCGACAUUGGAUGAUGCAUAAUAUGUGAUUGAUCCCUUGAUGAGAUGUUCUUUUUUUGGAAUUUGAAUGCAUUGUCGAAUUAACUAAGAACUACCCUACCCUUGGUUAAGAUUAAAGGGUUUUUUUCGUACAGAAAGAAACACCAAUUUAUAGGCUCAAAGGGGUUGAUGAGGGAUUAUAUUCCUUAUAUCUCCGAUGUUUAAGAGGUGAAAC